This 1481-nucleotide ribosomal RNA is filed under the name uncultured beta proteobacterium. RNAcentral describes it as "bacterial SSU rRNA". It matches the Rfam family "Bacterial small subunit ribosomal RNA". Lineage: Bacteria; Pseudomonadati; Pseudomonadota; Betaproteobacteria. The record is from RNAcentral.
AUUGUAUCCACGAUUAGAGUUUGAUCCUGGCUCAGAUUGAACGCUGGCGGCAUGCCUUACACUGCAAGUCGAACGCAAGCGGGGCAACCCGCAAGUAGAGUGGCGAACGGGUGAGUAAUACAUCGGAACAUGUCCAGUAGCGGGGGAUAACCUGUCGAAAGAUAGGCUAAUACCGCAUACGAUCUACGGAUGAGCAGGGGACCGCAAGGCCUUGCACUAUUGGAGUGGCCGAUGUCGGAUUAGCUAGUUGGUGAGGUAAAGGCUCCAAGGCGACGAUCCGUAGCUGGUCUGAGAGGACGAUCAGCCACACUGGAACUGAGACACGGUCCAGACUCCUACGGGAGGCAGCAGUGGGGAAUUUUGGACAAUGGGCGCAAGCCUGAUCCAGCCAUGCCGCGUGAGUGAAGAAGGCCUCGGGUUGUAAAGCUUUUCGGCGGGGACGAAACGGUUCGCACUAAUACUGCGGACUACUGACGGUACCCGCAUAAGAAGCACCGGCUAACUACGUGCCAGCAGCCGCGGUAAUACGUAGGGUGCAGGCGUUAAUCGGAAUUACUGGGCGUAAAGCGUGCGCAGGCGGUCUGUUAAGACAGGUGUGAAAUCCCCGAGCUCAACUUGGGAAUUGCGCUUGUAACCAGGCUAGAGUGUGGCAGAGGGGGGUGGAAUUCCAGGUGUAGCAGUGAAAUGCGUAGAUAUCUGGAGGAACACGAUGGCGGAGGCAGCCCCCUGGGUUAACACUGACGCUCAGGCACGAAAGCGUGGGGAGCAAACAGGAUUAGAUCCUGGUAGUCCACGCCCUAAACUAUGUCAACUGGUUGUCGGGGAAGAAAUUCCUUGGUAACGAAGCUAACGCGUGAAGUUGACCGCCUGGGGAGUACGGCCGCAAGGUUAAAACUCAAAGGAAUUGACGGGGAGCACAAGCGGUGGAUUAUGUGGAUUAAUUCGAUGCAACGCGAAAAACCUUACCUACCCUUGACAUGUACGGAAUCCCGCAGAGAUGUGGGAGUGCCCGAAAGGGAACCGUAACACAGGUGCUGCAUGGCUGUCGUCAGCUCGUGUCGUGAGAUGUUGGGUUAAGUCCCGCAACGAGCGCAACCUUGCCAUUAGUUGCUACAUUCAGUUGGGCACUCUAAUGGGACCGCCGGUGACAAACCGAAGGUGGGGAUGACGUCAAGUCCUCAUGGCCCUUAUGGGUAGGGCUUCACACGUAAUACAAUGGUCGGUACAGAGGGUUGCCAACCCGCGAGGGGGAGCUAAUCCCAGAAAGCCGAUCGUAGUCCGGAUUGUAGCUGCAACUCACUGCAUGAAGCCGGAAUCGCUAGUAAUCGCGGAUCAGCAUGUCGCGGUGAAUACGUUCCCGGGUCUUGUACACACCGCCCGUCACACCAUGGGAGUGGGUUCCACCAGAAGUAGAGCCUAACCGCAAGGAGGGCGAUUACCAGGUGAGAUUCAUGACUGGGGGAAGUCGUAACAAGGUAACC